This 714-nucleotide long non-coding RNA is filed under the name Sinocyclocheilus anshuiensis. RNAcentral's name for it is "lncRNA (ENSSANG00000003944.1)". The record is from RNAcentral. Lineage: Eukaryota; Metazoa; Chordata; Actinopteri; Cypriniformes; Cyprinidae.
AAUUGUUAACAGAAUAAGAUUAUAUCUACUUUUUUUCCUCUAAUAUUUAUGUAGACAUCAGCAGCUCUCCAGGAUUUUGAUGCAUUUCAGUCAACGACCAAAAGAUCUGAUUCCUAAGGACUCGUAUGUGAUGUACUUCUGGAUGCUGCUGUUACCGUCUCUCAGCGGAGCUGCUGUUCUCAUUAUAGCUGCGGCUCUUGGUGAAUAUGGGGCUAUCUUUUCUGCAGUGCUUUUCCCCUGCAUGGCAAAAGUUAUUCUUUCUCAAUAUCAUAGACUGAGCAGCUUUCAAAGGUUAUCAAACCCUGUUUACCUGGGAACACUGACUGCGGGCCUAAUUCAUUCCAUAGCUUGCUUUCUCUAUAAAAUUUUACCUAAUAUCCUUUGCAGAUAGCUUAUGUCAUCAACCUCUUUCAAAAGUUGAAAUCUUUUGGAUGUUUUGUCAAUUAUUCCUUGACCGCUCACGGUUUUGGCCAGCUUAUACCCUCUUAAAUUUUUCACUUGUCCAUUUUUGUGUGCUCGCUGGACUUUUUUGGAAAGUUUUAAACCAGAACCCAGGACGACUCAAAGAAGCUGACACUGAUUCCAAGUUUUCCAGCAUAGGAGACUUAAUAGAAGCUGGAAAGAGCCCAGACAGAUUCUGUAUUUACUGUGAGGUGAGCACUUAUUUGACCAGCACUGUAUCUGAAUCUCUUUUCUGAUUUUUAAAAUUGACUU